Molecule: non-coding RNA, 45 nt
Filed under: Schistosoma margrebowiei
Lineage: Eukaryota; Metazoa; Platyhelminthes; Trematoda; Strigeidida; Schistosomatidae
Source: RNAcentral
AUCUAGAUGACGAAUCCCAAUUAGAACGGAACGCAUGUCCUGGAU